Regulatory RNA element from Drosophila sechellia, 118 nucleotides. It matches the Rfam family "R2 RNA element", at positions 90 to 204 of the family's 212-position model. From Rfam's summary of the family: This family represents the 3' UTR region of the R2 retrotransposable element. This family is known to interact with the R2-encoded reverse transcriptase in a reaction known as target primed reverse transcription (TPRT). Lineage: Eukaryota; Metazoa; Arthropoda; Insecta; Diptera; Drosophilidae. The record is from Rfam.
AGGAUGGUUUUAGUACGUAGGCGUUGCGGAACUUCGGUUCAGAUAGAGCAAUGAAUCGUGCAUGCUAGGAAACUGAAGUGUUGACAGACCUAGUAUCUUUCGAUAGAUUUCCAUACCU